UUUGAACACUGGCAGUAGGUCCAGAACUCACACUUACAUAGUAAUGUUCUGCUGCCUCUAAUUAUCCUCAUUUUAAUGACAUUUUAAUCCUCUGUGAAAACUGAGUCACAGAGCCUUUGUGACAGGUCACAGGUUACACAGUGAAAAAGUGACAAAAUGGUGAUUUGAAUCUGCUUCUGCCUGACUCCAAAUUCUUGGUUUCAUAACUCCAUAUGGCCUUCAGGUAGGAAAAUGUGCUACUUGUACCAGUUGGGACAAAAUUGACCCCCCUUAAAUCCUGUGCAUGGACCCUUCAGGGUCUGCUGUAGAAUUAAUCCACAACAGCAUUUCAGAUUUAUAAGCAGCUUAGGUUGGCUUCAAGUCUAAAUAUAUGCAGUUCUUUUGUUAUUCCUUGCUCUUUAAAAGUUCUACAUUCUGUAGUCUCAUUGUCUCCUUCCAAAAGAGGAAAAUUUGAAGUCGGGUAAACAUCCUUGAGCCCCAAUCAUAUGGAGUGAUCUGAAUGGACCAGAACGAACAGAACUAUAAUAUACCCCUGCUCAUUUAUUCAGUUGGUCAAUUACUUGGAACAUGAAGAAGUAGCCACCUUUAGUGAUUACUAAUCUCUGUUCUACAUCAUCUUCAUCCUCUUUUUUAUUUAUCUUAGGAUUUCUAAUCCAAUUUAACAAUAUUACCGAAUUAGACUCGCAAAUUAAAAUCCACUGCUUGAAAAAAAUAAUAGACACUUUAAAGCUAUGCUGUGCUGUGAUAGUCAGUGAUUUACAAAAACAAAAUCUUAUCUCUCACUCCUGUCAUACGUUGGUGCCCAUCUGUUGGUUCUGGCUCCAUAUGUAUCUUUACUCUGGGAUCAGGCUGAAGGAAUUUCCCCGCUUAACCAUACCACUCUCAUGUCAAAAGAGACUGAUGGCUGGACCAUGCUAUGGCUCUCAAUGCUAAGACGUCGUGUUCUCCAUGUUACGCAUGUUCCAUUGACCAAAGCCUGAUGUCAACAGAGAGGAAAUAUAAUCUGCUUAGUAGGAGACAAUGCAGGUCAUAUGGCAGUGGGCAGAUACAUGUAGAAGAUUUUGCAAAAAUGACUUUAGUAGCAGCAACUUUUUUUAGUUUUCUGAAAUUUUUGCAUAAAAAUAGAACAAAAAAUAGCAAAUCCAAAUAUGCUCCAACAAUUUUACUUGCAAGCAAGAUACCAAGGUAUCCCUGUGAACCCCAAAAUGCAAAUGAAUGGGGACUUACUGCCACCAACCACAAAAUCUGUGUGCCAUUAGCAUCUGUACAGAAGAGGGAAGCAACUGAAUGGGGCUGAGCAAUGAGAACAGAAGAACCUCCGCAAUACUGCAGGUAUUCCCUGGAAAGUGUGGUGACCAAAUGAACUGAAGAAUGCAAGGGCCCACAGUGGGAGGACUGAGGGGUGGGGCCACCUGACUGCUAAGAACAUUCUGAAACUGACCUUCUGAGGUUCCAUUCUAGGACAGGCACCCACACUUGAGAUAAACUUCUGGGAGUGGAAUCAAAAUUUAUGAAGCUAGAAAUAAUAGAGACAAAAGAGAAAGUCUAGACCAAAGAAGGCGAGGGGAGGUUGCGGAACUAGAAAAUCCAAGGAAUCAAGGCUAUGCAUUUUAGUGCACUAUACAGAAACAGAAAGGUACUUAAAAAGUUUGAAAAGCUUUCCUGACCACACCUCUUCUCAAUUCUAAAAGAUCACAAAAAUUUAUUUCUUAUAAAAAUGUACAUCGGCCAGGCACAGUGGCUCACGCCUGUAAUCCCAGCCCUUUGGAAGGCCAAGGUGGGUGGAUCGCCUGAGGUCAGGAGUUCAAGACAAGCCUGGCCAAAAUGGUGAAACCCUGUGUCUACUAAAAAUAAAAAAAUUAGCCAGGCGUGGUGGCAGGCGCCUGUAAUCCCAGCUACUCGGGAGGCUGAGGCAGAUCAUUGCUUGAACCCAGGAGGUGGAGGUUACAGUGAGCCGAGAUGGUGCCACUGCACUCCAGCCUAGGCAACAGAGUGAGACUCUGUCUCAAAAAAAAAAAAUGUACAUCAGGAAAGUACUGAGGUAAAAUCUCAUACAGAGUUACUAUAAUAAUACAAUGAAUAAGUAGCAGAAUAACAUUCCUACGGAGUGAAAAUAUCUGAGGAAGAUAGGCUUACAAUACACCAUAAAACUGUAACUUAUCAUUUGAACAUGAGCUAAAAUACAUUAUGAAAAAAAGACAUGAAAGAAUAACAAAUCAAAAUUAUAAGAACUCUAAUUGACAGAUCUCAGGAAAGAAUUAGAAAUAAAAUUUAAAAAAUUAGAAUGAAGGUAAACUAGAAGAGAAAUUGAACACAAGAUAUAAUGCCUGAAGAGAACUAGAAAGUGAAAAAUAAAAAAUGUUAAAAAUAAAAAGGAAAUUCGUAAAAGAGGGAAAAGGAUUCAAGAGAAGGGGAUAAAUAUUGAGGAGCCAAAGAAGAUCAAAAUGCAAAUAAUUAGAAUGCUUGAAAAAAGAAAAUCAAAACAGGAAGCAAACAAACCAUUAAAAAAAAUAGUUCUCAAAAUUUUUCUGAAAAAAAAAGAAUAAGACAAUAUAUUGAAAGUUGUAACUGAGACUACAGACCCAGAAUGAUCAAAACCAAAAUACAAUCUGAUCAAAUUAUUGGACCUGAAAUAAUCUUUAGGCAUCUCUAAUGAAAGAGCAAAUUACUUUUAAGGGAAUAAAAUUGAAUUAUCAUCAGACUUUUUGACAACAGUGCUUUAUUGCAGAAAAAAAAUGGACUAAUUUAAGACACUCAGGAAAAGAAAAUAUCUUUAAAAUAAACCUGACUUUCAGUAUAAAGGACAAAAGCUGUAUUCAACCUGUAAGCACUUGGGGAAUAUUGCUCCCAUGAGCCUUCUGAGGAAUUUACUUGAGAACAAACAUUAGGAAACCAAAAUGACUAGAGACGUAAUGACAUCAUAUCUGGUGGUGAGUUUUAAAUAUAUCAGUAUUUGUAUAAAUAAGACUAAAUGAGGGUUAUCAGGGAAAGACAAUGUAAUAUCUAUAUGUUCUGAAAAUGCAGAUGUAGCACAACUUUCUACAUAUGAGGGAGAAAUGGAGAUCAUAUACAACAAUCAUUUUAAAUUGUGUUAGUCAUCAUAGGUGAUAUGGUGUUGUUAUUUUGAGACUGUUGCUUGUGUAAUAUGAGAUGAAAUAAAACAAUGCUAUGAAGCAUUCUAAUUUUAUUAUCCCCUGUGUCCUGAGAACCAAACGUUUCAAUGUGAAAGACAGGUAUACAG
RNAcentral lists this long non-coding RNA (3241 nucleotides) under Homo sapiens (human). RNAcentral's name for it is "HSALNT0069325". The record is from RNAcentral. Lineage: Eukaryota; Metazoa; Chordata; Mammalia; Primates; Hominidae.